GGGCCCGCACAAGCGGUGGAGCAUGUGGUUUAAUUCGAUGCAACGCGAAGAACCUUACCAGGGUUUGACAUAGUACGAAGUUUUUUGAAAAAAAAUCCACCUUCGGGAACGUACAUACAGGUGGUGCAUGGCUGUCGUCAGCUCGUGUCGUGAGAUGUUGGGUUAAGUCCCGCAACGAGCGUAACCCUUGUUUUUAGUUGCCUUUCGAGGAUAUUUAGAAAGACUGCCGAUUAUAAAUCGGAGGAAGGUAAGGACGACGUCAAGUCAUCAUGCCCCUUACACUCUGGGCUACACACGUGCUACAUUGGGUAGAACAAUAAGUUGCUAAGUUGCGAAACCAAG
This 342-nucleotide ribosomal RNA is filed under the name uncultured bacterium. RNAcentral describes it as "partial 16S ribosomal RNA". It matches the Rfam family "Bacterial small subunit ribosomal RNA", at positions 917 to 1267 of the family's 1533-position model. The record is from RNAcentral.